This 22-nucleotide microRNA is filed under the name Tribolium castaneum (red flour beetle). RNAcentral describes it as "tca-miR-3851l-3-5p". The record is from miRBase by way of RNAcentral. Lineage: Eukaryota; Metazoa; Arthropoda; Insecta; Coleoptera; Tenebrionidae.
UGUUGGCAUAAGUAGUACCAUG